This 460-nucleotide ribosomal RNA is filed under the name uncultured bacterium. Its description in RNAcentral is "bacterial SSU rRNA". It matches the Rfam family "Bacterial small subunit ribosomal RNA", at positions 30 to 489 of the family's 1533-position model. The record is from RNAcentral.
AUUGAACGCUGGCGGCAUGCCUUACACAUGCAAGUCGAACGGCAGCACGGGAGCAAUCCUGGUGGCGAGUGGCGAACGGGUGAGUAAUAUAUCGGAACGUGCCCGGUCGUGGGGAUAACGUAGCGAAAGCUACGCUAAUACCGCAUACGAUCUACGGAUGAAAGCGGGGGAUCGCAAGACCUCGCGCGAUUGGAGCGGCCGAUAUCAGAUUAGGUAGUUGGUGAGGUAAAGGCUCACCAAGCCGACGAUCUGUAGCUGGUCUGAGAGGACGACCAGCCACACUGGGACUGAGACACGGCCCAGACUCCUACGGGAGGCAGCAGUGAGGAAUAUUGGACAAUGGGCGCAAGCCUGAUCCAGCCAUGCCGCGUGCAGGAUGACGGUCCUAUGGAUUGUAAACUGCUUUUAUACAGGAAGAAACACUCCGACGUGUCGGAGCUUGACGGUACUGUAAGAAUAA